This 430-nucleotide ribosomal RNA is filed under the name uncultured bacterium. Its description in RNAcentral is "bacterial SSU rRNA". It matches the Rfam family "Bacterial small subunit ribosomal RNA", at positions 340 to 786 of the family's 1533-position model. The record is from RNAcentral.
UACGGGAGGCAGCAGUGGGGAAUAUUGGACAAUGGGCGCAAGCCUGAUCCAGCCAUGCCGCGUGAGUGAUGACGGCCUUAGGGUUGUAAAGCUCUUUCGCUCGGGACGAUAAUGACGGUACCGAGAUAAGAAGCCCCGGCUAACUUCGUGCCAGCAGCCGCGGUAAUACGAAGGGGGCUAGCGUUGUUCGGAAUUACUGGGCGUAAAGCGCGUGUAGGCGGGUCUUUAAGUCAGGGGUGAAAUGCCAAGGCUCACCUUGGAACUGCCUUUUGAUACUGGAGAUCUUGAGUCCGGAAGAGGUGAGUGGAAUUGCGAGUGUAGAGGUGAAAUUCGUAGAUAUUCGCAAGAACACCAGUGGCGAAGGCGGCUCACUGGUCCGGAACUGACGCUGAGACGCGAAAGCGUGGGGAGCAAACAGGGAUUAGAUACC